AGUCUAUCUGGCAUUAACGUGCACUCUGUCACCAUAAGACUUAACGGUGGCAGAUGGCAGUUGCGUUAGCAAACAUUCAGUUCUCUCUCUUUGAUUCUUCCCUUAGGAUUGAGGAAGGCCUGGCCGUGGCUCACAGCUGAGUCACACCUCUCCAGUAAAGCCUGAGGAGAGCAUGUCAAACCACCGGAAGACCUCAGUCAUGUGGGUUUUCCGGUUCACCCGUGGCAACAGUAAUUAUUUUCCACACAAAAGGCAAAGAUUCUUGUGUGGAUCCCAGAAG
Molecule: long non-coding RNA, 280 nt
Organism: Pan paniscus (pygmy chimpanzee)
Lineage: Eukaryota; Metazoa; Chordata; Mammalia; Primates; Hominidae
Source: Ensembl